GCCUACGGGAGGCAGCAGUGGGGAAUGUUGGGCAAUGGGCGAAAGCCUGACCCAGCAACGCCGCGUGUGUGAUGAAGGCCCUCGGGUCGUAAAACACUUUUCUGAGGAAUGAGAAAGGACAGUACCUCAGGAAUAAGUCUCGGCUAACUACGUGCCAGCAGCCGCGGUAAAACGUAGGAGACGAGCGUUAUCCGGAUUUACUGGGCGUAAAGCGUGUGCAGGCGGUUCGGCAAGUUGGAUGUGAAAUCUCCCGGCUCAACUGGGAGAGGUCGUUCAAAACUACCGAACUUGAGGUCAUCAGAGGAAAGUGGAAUUCCGGGUGUAGUGGUGAAAUGCGUAGAUAUCCGGAGGAACACCAGUGGCGAAGGCGGCCUUCUGGGAUGAUCCUGACGCUCAGACACGAAAGCUGGGGGAGCAAACGGGAUUAGAUACCCGUGUAGUCUU
This 444-nucleotide ribosomal RNA is filed under the name uncultured bacterium. RNAcentral's name for it is "bacterial SSU rRNA". It matches the Rfam family "Bacterial small subunit ribosomal RNA", at positions 337 to 797 of the family's 1533-position model. The record is from RNAcentral.